Molecule: ribosomal RNA, 253 nt
Filed under: uncultured bacterium
Lineage: Bacteria
Description: partial 16S ribosomal RNA
Rfam family: Bacterial small subunit ribosomal RNA
Source: RNAcentral
UACGAAGGGGGCUAGCGUUGCUCGGAAUGACUGGGCGUAAAGGGCGUGUAGGCGGUUUGUACAGUCAGAUGUGAAAUCCCCGGGCUUAACCUGGGAGCUGCAUUUGAUACGUGCAAACUAGAGUGUGAGAGAGGGUUGUGGAAUUCCCAGUGUAGAGGUGAAAUUCGUAGAUAUUGGGAAGAACACCGGUGGCGAAGGCGGCAACCUGGCUCAUAACUGACGCUGAGGCGCGAAAGCGUGGGGAGCAAACAGG